Bolinopsis microptera is the source of this 508-nucleotide long non-coding RNA. RefSeq lists it as uncharacterized. NCBI's taxonomy places the organism in Eukaryota, Metazoa, Ctenophora, Tentaculata, Lobata, Bolinopsidae. The record is from RefSeq and is a predicted model, not a curated record. The transcript is spliced from 3 exons.
UAUGCUCAGUCAAUGUUGAGACGGGUUGUAAUGAUCAAAAGCGUGCUCUCCGAAGCUGAUGCCUAUGAGUAUCGCCAUAAUACAACAAUUGGGCUUGGAGUAGGCCCAGGCAGGAGAAAGUCGGUAGACUACUACAUGGAGCUGCUCAAUAAUAUCCUGUCUAGAAUGAUCGGCAAAACUUUCACCCUUGAAACAUUGAUGACGACAGCAAACGCUCUGGGGUACCUGCACACGAUCAAGAAGGUAGUGGAGGAGGAGAUUAGAGGGAUAAAAAGAAAGAAGAACAAAAGGAAGGAAGUCGGAGGUAUUUAUGAGAAAUUGCUCUAUAAUGUCAAAAACGGAGAGUUAUUUAAAUUUACUCCGAGCAGAAAGUCACCUGCCGGCCUCUCGAUAAAGAAGAACAUUCACUUUGACAACAGGGGCAAAAUAACGAUGACAACCUGGAUGUUGACAAGUAAAUAACUAAUCUAGCUGCUGAUAAGUAGUACAUGAUUCGCAGUGUAAUUGU